This 473-nucleotide long non-coding RNA is filed under the name Elaeis guineensis (African oil palm). RNAcentral's name for it is "long non-coding RNA (EGUI_LNC016051)". The record is from RNAcentral. Lineage: Eukaryota; Viridiplantae; Streptophyta; Magnoliopsida; Arecales; Arecaceae.
AAAUAAAAUUUUAUACAAAAUUAAUAAAAAAUAACUUUAUCAAAUAUAGAAAUCCAUCCUCUUUUGUUUUCUCCUUUCUUUCCAAAGUAGAUAAACAAUCUCUCCUUUUCAUUUAUCUUUUUUUAAAAAAUUUUGAACCUAACAAUGGAUAGAGAUCAUUCAUUCUUCCAACUCUAUCUAUUCUUUCUCUCGUGAUCUCUCAAUCAAACAUAGAAUUAGGCUUAGGAUUCUCUCACAAUGCCUAACUGCUUAAGAUUUUCUUGCUUAGGGUGUGGGGUUUGUUGAGGGCUUCGCAUCAAAAGCCAUGAAAAAAAUGGUACAUAUGUUUCUUCCCUCGUAUUCCACGGCUCCGAUUAGGAUUUUGAAAGGAUCUGAUAUCUCCUCUCCUUCCUCUUCUUCUUUUCAUAGCCAUUGCACAAAACUUUCAAGAUCAAAAAAGCUGGCAAAAAAGAUGAGAACCACCCCAUUCCCCC